ACGGAUCUCAAGUCUAUGGUUCAACAACACAUAGGGAUGCUGAAUCGCCUGUGUAUGGCAACGAUGCAGAAGAUGAGAUGAUCAGAGCUGCUAUUGAGGCUUCCAAGAAGGAUUUUCAAGAGGGUUCCAUCUAGCGUUUUAUCUUCGAGAGAGGCUAUUAACAAGGAAGACGAGGACAUUGCCCGUGCAAUUUCUAUGUCAAUAGAGAUGGAAGAGCAAGAGAGUGUAAUGCGAGAGCAACUAGCUGAACUCAUGUCUCCCUC
This is a long non-coding RNA of Raphanus sativus (radish), 263 nucleotides long. RefSeq lists it as uncharacterized. NCBI's taxonomy places the organism in Eukaryota, Viridiplantae, Streptophyta, Magnoliopsida, Brassicales, Brassicaceae. The transcript is spliced from 3 exons. The record is from RefSeq and is a predicted model, not a curated record.